Molecule: ribosomal RNA, 692 nt
Filed under: Salmonella enterica
Lineage: Bacteria; Pseudomonadati; Pseudomonadota; Gammaproteobacteria; Enterobacterales; Enterobacteriaceae
Description: partial 23S ribosomal RNA
Rfam family: Bacterial large subunit ribosomal RNA
Source: RNAcentral
GCUUAUGCGUUGUUGGGUAGGGGAGCGUUCUGUAAGCCUGCGAAGGUGGCCUGUGAGGGUUGCUGGAGGUAUCAGAAGUGCGAAUGCUGACAUAAGUAACGAUAAAGCGGGUGAAAAGCCCGCUCGCCGGAAGACCAAGGGUUCCUGUCCAACGUUAAUCGGGGCAGGGUGAGUCGACCCCUAAGGCGAGGCCGAAAGGCGUAGUCGAUGGGAAACGGGUUAAUAUUCCCGUACUUGGUGUUACUGCGAAGGGGGGACGGAGAAGGCUAUGUUGGCCGGGCGACGGUUGUCCCGGUUUAAGCGUGUAGGUGUGUGUUCCAGGUAAAUCCGGUUCACUUUAACACUGAGGCGUGAUGACGAGGCACUACGGUGCUGAAGCAACAAAUGCCCUGCUUCCAGGAAAAGCCUCUAAGCAUCAGGUAACAUCAAAUCGUACCCCAAACCGACACAGGUGGUCAGGUAGAGAAUACCAAGGCGCUUGAGAGAACUCGGGUGAAGGAACUAGGCAAAAUGGUGCCGUAACUUCGGGAGAAGGCACGCUGACAUGUAGGUGAAGUGAUUUACUCAUGGAGCUGAAGUCAGUCGAAGAUACCAGCUGGCUGCAACUGUUUAUUAAAAACACAGCACUGUGCAAACACGAAAGUGGACGUAUACGGUGUGACGCCUGCCCGGUGCCGGAAGGUUAAUUGAUG